AUGUAGAUCAUGCCUUGAGAAAACACAUCAACUCUACCUAGAGGAAAGACAUACAAGCUAGCUACACUUAUCAAUGAAGAACUCACUUGUCCUAGCUUUCUUCGCACUUUGUUUGCUCAUGAUCUCCGAAACAGUAGUCGUAAGUAGGCAACUUGAGGAUAAACCACUGCCAUUCUCUCUCCAAGCGAGUGACAAAGGGAAUGAAUACAUUAACAUUGACGGAAUUGCCUCUAGUUCCAAUGUUGUUGGUAAAACAGGAAACGAGGAGAGAAAGCUAGGAGAAACCAAAGCAAUUGGUGAUCUAUCAAUUGACAAAAACAGUUCCAAUGAUGCAGACAAUUUGGCCACACAAAUGAACACUCACAU
This is a long non-coding RNA of Zingiber officinale, 366 nucleotides long. RefSeq lists it as uncharacterized. The record is from RefSeq and is a predicted model, not a curated record. The transcript has 2 exons. NCBI's taxonomy places the organism in Eukaryota, Viridiplantae, Streptophyta, Magnoliopsida, Zingiberales, Zingiberaceae.